RNAcentral lists this long non-coding RNA (2443 nucleotides) under Paramuricea clavata. The record is from RNAcentral. Lineage: Eukaryota; Metazoa; Cnidaria; Anthozoa; Malacalcyonacea; Plexauridae.
CAAUAUAUUUUACUCGAAGACAAUACAAAAUUACAAUAACAAAGCAAUUACGUACAUGAUUGACAGUUAAUACAGUGAACCUAUUUAUAGCUAAUUAUAGCAUAAUGUCUCUGUCUGAUAAUGUAACGAUAUAUUAAAAUGUUAAUAAUUACUCUGUUCAUAACACUCCCCAGGGUUGAGCCGUACACAGUGCUCAACAAUACUCCCCAGAAUAAUCGUAACUAGAAAUAUGAAAGUUUCACGAACUACAGUCUGUCUAACUGUUCGCAUAAUCGGUUUCUCAAAUAAUUAAUUAACGGAUAAUGUUUAUGUCUUCCUUUGAAACUCUUUCAUCUGUUCCAGUCUUCGCAAUUCACCCACUACAUAUUCUCCUUGCAUAUUCUCCGUGUUCCUAGCAGUUCGUUUAACUUUAAGUUCGUUGACAAACCUUAACACGUACGCUGUUACACGCAACAGCUUAGCGAAGCUGCUGAAACGGUCACAAUUUAUGAUGUCGUUCAGAUUCAAUUCAGCUGAUUCUUCUUCUUUCGUACUGACGAGUGAAUGAAUAACAGUCUGCGGUUUCUUAACGGUUUCGUUCAAAGCUGUGUCAUCCAGGGCGCUCGCUGCUGGAUCCUUCGGCCACUUGCACUGAGGCUUGUAAAGAUACUCUGGUCCACCCCACCUGGUCCAGUGGUAGCUGAUCCAUUAUAGACCACUCGCAACUUUGUAGUCGAUUUGUCUUUCCUUACUACACCGUGAUGUGGAAGAUAAUGCACGUUGUUUUCGUUCUCUUUGUUGUCGUCGCUUUGAUAAGGCACUCGCUCGAUUACUCCCGAUAUUAAUUGUUCCUGAAUUCCUUUGUCAUAUUCUCGAAGAGGCUCAGGUUGUCUUGUUAACUUCUGAUUCAACGACCGUAACCGAUUGUAACAAAGUUCGUAGUCGACUCCGACCUCAGGAUUGUCCUCUUCCCAAGGUAGGCGAACUUCGUACCGUUCUCCUGUAAAUCGAAUAUCACGAAUGAAGUUGACAUCAUCGUUUGGUUCAGCUUUAUAAUUGUCUAUUCCUGUGGACUCUGUUUCCCAAAAACGCUUUAGUGAAUUGACAAUCUUGUCCUCGUUCGUUGACGCGGUGAAGUAUCUUGAUGUGUCCAAUGAUUCACCAGUUAGGAUCAGAUUUGAAACAGUCGGAUCUUCGUGUUCAGCAGAUUUUGGUACUCGACCGGAUAACAACCAUCCAAGCUUGCUGCUGACCGCUGUAGGACCACUUUCACCUUUUACAACAUCACCUGUGACAAUGUCCCAAUAAUGGUCUGCGCCAAUUAGGAUAUCGAUGCUGUUACUUUCAUUAUCGUCGCCGCCAAAGUCUGCAAGUUCCAGCCCUUCCAGAUGUACGUAAUUCGUGUUGACUUUCGAGUUCAGUGGAGAACAUAUUAUAGGGAAAUUAAUUGCUGUAACUUCUACCUCUUCACUUCCGUUUUGGUUCUCGAUAUUGAAUUUGUAGAUUUCACAGUUUUGGCGCUUGCAUUUAUUGUCCCCAAAUGUGUUCAAAUACAGUGUUUCCUUUCUAAGUGGUUCCAACUUUAAUUUCGCUUGAGUUGAAUUCGUAAUAUAAGAGCGUUGGCUCCCUGUGUCAAAUAAUACGCGUACGGGAACUGAUCUUACACCGUUCGUUGCCUUUGCUCUAGCUGUUUGAAGUAAAACAGUACCCUUACAGAUUUUUGUGGCUGUUGUUGUAGAUUCCUCAUUUUUCGGCUGUUCGGUUGACUUCGCGCUUUCGACUUUCUGAUUUCGUGAACAUAUCGAUUGGUGGUGCCUGCCCUGGCAGUGGCGGCACUUUCUUGCAUUGUUACAGUCUUUCGCGUUGUGUCCUUUCCAUAAACAAUUGAAACAACGUCCUGAUUCACUAAGAACUUUCUUUCGAGCUUCACAAGGAACAAUCUUUUCGCAUGAUGCUGAAUAAUGGCGACCACUACAGUAAACGCAUUGGAUUUUGGAAUUGUCGGGCAGCUGACCAUUGUUCACAAACAUAGCAGCAGCAGUAGGCUUGUUCCCGUUGUUCUUAGAGUUGUAAUCUUGGUAUUUAGAGCCUUGUUGAUUAUUUCCACUCGACUUAGUGCUUUCGCUCAUUUCUCUUGCUUCGAUUUCAAGUUUUAUCGUAGUAAGUAAUUCAUCGAUCUUCCAAGCUUCUUUGGUGGCCUUUCGUGCGAUCUGCAGGCGAAUAUCGCUUGGCAACUUUGACAUUAUAAUCGGUAUCAAUAGGCUGCCAUAUUGUUCCGAGGAAACGCCCAAUGAAGCUAGACCACGUACAUGCACGCUAAUUUUGUCAUAGACGUAUCUUAAGGAAGAUAGUUUCUCUCCUGUGCAAGCUUGUACUUUAAGUAUUUCAUCCAUAUGGGCCGCAAUGACUUGUUGUGGCCUUCCAAAACGGUCCUGGAGAAUUUCUACAGCGGCGUCAUAAUUCG